This 570-nucleotide ribosomal RNA is filed under the name uncultured Flavobacteriia bacterium. Its description in RNAcentral is "bacterial SSU rRNA". It matches the Rfam family "Bacterial small subunit ribosomal RNA", at positions 347 to 916 of the family's 1533-position model. Lineage: Bacteria; Pseudomonadati; Bacteroidota; Flavobacteriia. The record is from RNAcentral. RNAcentral also lists the same sequence under 1 other name.
GGCAGCAGUGAGGAAUAUUGGACAAUGGAGGCAACUCUGAUCCAGCCAUGCCGCGUGCAGGAAGACUGCCCUAUGGGUUGUAAACUGCUUUUAUAUAGGAAGAAACCUACUUACGUGUAAGUAGCUGACGGUACUAUAAGAAUAAGGAUCGGCUAACUCCGUGCCAGCAGCCGCGGUAAUACGGAGGAUCCAAGCGUUAUCCGGAAUCAUUGGGUUUAAAGGGUCCGUAGGUGGAUAAUUAAGUCAGAGGUGAAAUCUUGCAGCUCAACUGUAAAAUUGCCUUUGAUACUGGUUAUCUUGAGUUAUUAUGAAGUAGUUAGAAUAUGUAGUGUAGCGGUGAAAUGCAUAGAUAUUACAUAGAAUACCAAUUGCGAAGGCAGAUUACUAAUAAUCAACUGACACUGAUGGACGAAAGCGUGGGUAGCGAACAGGAUUAGAUACCCUGGUAGUCCACGCCGUAAACGAUGGUUACUAGCUGUUUGGACCUUGUGUCUGAGUGGCUAAGCGAAAGUGAUAAGUAACCCACCUGGGGAGUACGUUCGCAAGAAUGAAACUCAAAGGAAUUGACGG